Molecule: ribosomal RNA, 119 nt
Filed under: Salvator merianae (Argentine black and white tegu)
Lineage: Eukaryota; Metazoa; Chordata; Lepidosauria; Squamata; Teiidae
Source: RNAcentral
ACCUAUGGCCAUACCACCCUGAACACACUCGAUCUUGUCUGAUCUCGGAAGCUAAGCAGGGUCAGGCCUGGUUAAUACUUGGAUGGGAGACCGCCUGGGAAUACCUGGUGCUGUAGGCU